GAUGAACGCUGGCGGCGUGCCUAAUACAUGCAAGUCGAGCGAGCAGACGAGGAGCUUGCUCCUCUGACGUUAGCGGCGGACGGGUGAGUAACACGUGGAUAACCUACCUAUAAGGCUGGGAUAACUUCGGGAAACCGGAGCUAAUACCGGAUAAUAUAUUGAACCGCAUGGUUCAAUAGUGAAAGACGGUUUUGCUGUCACUUAUAGAUGGAUCCGCGCCGCAUUAGCUAGUUGGUAAGGUAACGGCUUACCAAGGCAACGAUGCGUAGCCGACCUGAGAGGGUGAUCGGCCACACUGGAACUGAGACACGGUCCAGACUCCUACGGGAGGCAGCAGUAGGGAAUCUUCCGCAAUGGGCGAAAGCCUGACGGAGCAACGCCGCGUGAGUGAUGAAGGUCUUCGGAUCGUAAAACUCUGUUAUUAGGGAAGAACAAAUGUGUAAGUAACUAUGCACGUCUUGACGGUACCUAAUCAGAAAGCCACGGCUAACUACGUG
This 497-nucleotide ribosomal RNA is filed under the name uncultured bacterium. Its description in RNAcentral is "partial 16S ribosomal RNA". It matches the Rfam family "Bacterial small subunit ribosomal RNA", at positions 28 to 507 of the family's 1533-position model. The record is from RNAcentral.